GACCAAGAGGUUUGGUUAUGUUUUUAGGUUGAAAAGAUAGUUAAGUAAUAUAACUUAAUAUAAUGAUUUUUUGUUAAAGGGUAAAAUUUGAAUACAAAGAAUUAAUUUUAUUUAUAUUUAAAUGCUGAAUCUAUGAUAAUUAUGAGGGAAACUGGGAUUAGAUACCCCACUAUUCAUUAUUUUAAAUAUAAUAUAAUUUACCUGAGUACUAUGAAUUUUAGGUUUAAAACUCAAAGGGCUUGGCGGUGUUUUAGACCUAUUAGGGGAACCUGUCUCGUAAUCGACAAUCCGCGAUAUACCUGACCUUUUUUUGUAUUCAGUUUGUAUACCGUCGUCGUCAGGUAACUUUUAAAAAUGAAGAAGUUGGCAUAAAUAAUAAUGUGAAUUUAGACGUCAGAUCAAGGUGCAGCUCAUAAAAAGGAGAGGAUGGGUUACAAUUAUAAAAUAGUAAUUAUGGAUAGUUUGAUGGAAAAAGCUUAAAGGCGGACUUAAAAGUAAUUAUGUAAUAUAUAAAUAUUUUGAAUUAGGCUCUGAAACGUGC
This 541-nucleotide ribosomal RNA is filed under the name Zafra ocellatula. Its description in RNAcentral is "partial small subunit ribosomal RNA". Lineage: Eukaryota; Metazoa; Mollusca; Gastropoda; Neogastropoda; Columbellidae. The record is from RNAcentral.